Molecule: long non-coding RNA, 427 nt
Filed under: Pan troglodytes (chimpanzee)
Lineage: Eukaryota; Metazoa; Chordata; Mammalia; Primates; Hominidae
Description: lincRNA
Source: RNAcentral
AAGUUUUGAAUUUCAAAAGGAAGGAAAAAGCAAAGCUGUUUCAUAGAGUAUUGACAUUUAACAAAAUAGCUCACUUGCUGGAACCUGCUGAAGAAGUAACCUAACUGAUGUGCUUGAAAGUGCAAAUAUUUCUUGCAUGAUACAUGCUAUAAAAAUUCAUUUCUUAUUCUGCUCGAGGGAAGAUGCUGAAAUUGCUGUGCAUCCAAUGAAAGCUAAGCUUUAGCUUCUUCAUGGAGUGGUGAUGGGCUUCCAAGAAGGAGUUUUCCAAAAAUGCAAAACUGGAAGCUGCAUGGGCUCUUAUAGGCUAAACUUAGAAGGCACUUGUCACUUCUACCUCAUUCUUUUGGACAAAGCAACUCACAGAGCCAACUCAGAAUCAGAUUCAAAAGGAGGAAGAACAAACUGUGGCUUUGAGAUGAUAAGUGAC